UUAAGCGACUAAGCGUACACGGUGGAUGCCCUGGCAGUCAGAGGCGAUGAAGGACGUGCUAAUCUGCGAUAAGCGUCGGUAAGGUGAUAUGAACCGUUAUAACCGGCGAUUUCCGAAUGGGGAAACCCAGUGUGUUUCGACACACUAUCAUUAACUGAAUCCAUAGGUUAAUGAGGCGAACCGGGGGAACUGAAACAUCUAAGUACCCCGAGGAAAAGAAAUCAACCGAGAUUCCCCCAGUAGCGGCGAGCGAACGGGGAGCAGCCCAGAGCCUGAAUCAGUGUGUGUGUUAGUGGAAGCGUCUGGAAAGGCGCGCGAUACAGGGUGACAGCCCCGUACACAAAAAUGCACAUGCUGUGAGCUCGAUGAGUAGGGCGGGACACGUGGUAUCCUGUCUGAAUAUGGGGGGACCAUCCUCCAAGGCUAAAUACUCCUGACUGACCGAUAGUGAACCAGUACCGUGAGGGAAAGGCGAAAAGAACCCCGGCGAGGGGAGUGAAAAAGAACCUGAAACCGUGUACGUACAAGCAGUGGGAGCACGCUUAGGCGUGUGACUGCGUACCUUUUGUAUAAUGGGUCAGCGACUUAUAUUCUGUAGCAAGGUUAACCGAAUAGGGGAGCCGAAGGGAAACCGAGUCUUAACUGGGCGUUAAGUUGCAGGGUAUAGACCCGAAACCCGGUGAUCUAGCCAUGGGCAGGUUGAAGGUUGGGUAACACUAACUGGAGGACCGAACCGACUAAUGUUGAAAAAUUAGCGGAUGACUUGUGGCUGGGAGUGAAAGGCCAAUCAAACCGGGAGAUAGCUGGUUCUCCCCGAAAGCUAUUUAGGUAGCGCCUCGUGAAUUCAUCUCCGGGGGUAGAGCACUGUUUCGGCAAGGGGGUCAUCCCGACUUACCAACCCGAUGCAAACUGCGAAUACCGGAGAAUGUUAUCACGGGAGACACACGGCGGGUGCUAACGUCCGUCGUGAAGAGGGAAACAACCCAGACCGCCAGCUAAGGUCCCAAAGUCAUGGUUAAGUGGGAAACGAUGUGGGAAGGCCCAGACAGCCAGGAUGUUGGCUUAGAAGCAGCCAUCAUUUAAAGAAAGCGUAAUAGCUCACUGGUCGAGUCGGCCUGCGCGGAAGAUGUAACGGGGCUAAACCAUGCACCGAAGCUGCGGCAGCGACGCUUAUGCGUUGUUGGGUAGGGGAGCGUUCUGUAAGCCUGCGAAGGUGUGCUGUGAGGCAUGCUGGAGGUAUCAGAAGUGCGAAUGCUGACAUAAGUAACGAUAAAGCGGGUGAAAAGCCCGCUCGCCGGAAGACCAAGGGUUCCUGUCCAACGUUAAUCGGGGCAGGGUGAGUCGACCCCUAAGGCGAGGCCGAAAGGCGUAGUCGAUGGGAAACAGGUUAAUAUUCCUGUACUUGGUGUUACUGCGAAGGGGGGACGGAGAAGGCUAUGUUGGCCGGGCGACGGUUGUCCCGGUUUAAGCGUGUAGGCUGGUUUUCCAGGCAAAUCCGGAAAAUCAAGGCUGAGGCGUGAUGACGAGGCACUACGGUGCUGAAGCAACAAAUGCCCUGCUUCCAGGAAAAGCCUCUAAGCAUCAGGUAACAUCAAAUCGUACCCCAAACCGACACAGGUGGUCAGGUAGAGAAUACCAAGGCGCUUGAGAGAACUCGGGUGAAGGAACUAGGCAAAAUGGUGCCGUAACUUCGGGAGAAGGCACGCUGAUAUGUAGGUGAAGUCCCUCGCGGAUGGAGCUGAAAUCAGUCGAAGAUACCAGCUGGCUGCAACUGUUUAUUAAAAACACAGCACUGUGCAAACACGAAAGUGGACGUAUACGGUGUGACGCCUGCCCGGUGCCGGAAGGUUAAUUGAUGGGGUUAGCCGCAAGGCGAAGCUCUUGAUCGAAGCCCCGGUAAACGGCGGCCGUAACUAUAACGGUCCUAAGGUAGCGAAAUUCCUUGUCGGGUAAGUUCCGACCUGCACGAAUGGCGUAAUGAUGGCCAGGCUGUCUCCACCCGAGACUCAGUGAAAUUGAACUCGCUGUGAAGAUGCAGUGUACCCGCGGCAAGACGGAAAGACCCCGUGAACCUUUACUAUAGCUUGACACUGAACAUUGAGCCUUGAUGUGUAGGAUAGGUGGGAGGCUUAGAAGUGUGGACGCCAGUCUGCAUGGAGCCGACCUUGAAAUACCACCCUUUAAUGUUUGAUGUUCUAACGUGGACCCGUAAUCCGGGUUGCGGACAGUGUCUGGUGGGUAGUUUGACUGGGGCGGUCUCCUCCUAAAGAGUAACGGAGGAGCACGAAGGUUGGCUAAUCCUGGUCGGACAUCAGGAGGUUAGUGCAAUGGCAUAAGCCAGCUUGACUGCGAGCGUGACGGCGCGAGCAGGUGCGAAAGCAGGUCAUAGUGAUCCGGUGGUUCUGAAUGGAAGGGCCAUCGCUCAACGGAUAAAAGGUACUCCGGGGAUAACAGGCUGAUACCGCCCAAGAGUUCAUAUCGACGGCGGUGUUUGGCACCUCGAUGUCGGCUCAUCACAUCCUGGGGCUGAAGUAGGUCCCAAGGGUAUGGCUGUUCGCCAUUUAAAGUGGUACGCGAGCUGGGUUUAGAACGUCGUGAGACAGUUCGGUCCCUAUCUGCCGUGGGCGCUGGAGAACUGAGGGGGGCUGCUCCUAGUACGAGAGGACCGGAGUGGACGCAUCACUGGUGUUCGGGUUGUCAUGCCAAUGGCACUGCCCGGUAGCUAAAUGCGGAAGAGAUAAGUGCUGAAAGCAUCUAAGCACGAAACUUGCCCCGAGAUGAGUUCUCCCUGACUCCUUGAGAGUCCUGAAGGAACGUUGAAGACGACGACGUUGAUAGGCCGGGUGUGUAAGCGCAGCGAUGCGUUGAGCUAACCGGUACUAAUGAACCGUGAGGCUUAACCUU
Molecule: ribosomal RNA, 2904 nt
Filed under: Escherichia coli
Lineage: Bacteria; Pseudomonadati; Pseudomonadota; Gammaproteobacteria; Enterobacterales; Enterobacteriaceae
Description: bacterial LSU rRNA
Rfam family: Bacterial large subunit ribosomal RNA
Source: RNAcentral